This 253-nucleotide ribosomal RNA is filed under the name uncultured bacterium. RNAcentral describes it as "partial 16S ribosomal RNA". It matches the Rfam family "Bacterial small subunit ribosomal RNA", at positions 524 to 776 of the family's 1533-position model. The record is from RNAcentral.
GACGGAGGAUGCAAGCGUUAUCCGGAAUGAUUGGGCGUAAAGUGUUCGCAGGUGGCUGUUCAAGUCUGCUGUCAAAGACCGGGGCUUAACCCUAGAAAGGCAGUGGAAACUGAACGGCUGGAGUGCAGUAGGGGUAGAGGGAAUUCCCAGUGUCGCGGUGAAAUGCGUAGAGAUUGGGAAGAACACCGGUGGCGAAAGCGCUCUGCUGGACUGCAACUGACACUGAGGGAAGAAAGCUAGGGGAGCGAAAGGG